This 77-nucleotide transfer RNA is filed under the name Treponema sp. RNAcentral describes it as "tRNA-Arg". It matches the Rfam family "tRNA". Rfam says of the family: Transfer RNA (tRNA) molecules are approximately 80 nucleotides in length. Their secondary structure includes four short double-helical elements and three loops (D, anti-codon, and T loops). Further hydrogen bonds mediate the characteristic L-shaped molecular structure. tRNAs have two regions of fundamental functional importance: the anti-codon, which is responsible for specific mRNA codon recognition, and the 3' end, to which the tRNAs corresponding amino acid is attached (by aminoacyl-tRNA synthetases). tRNAs cope with the degeneracy of the genetic code in two manners: having more than one tRNA (with a specific anti-codon) for a particular amino acid; and 'wobble' base-pairing, i.e. permitting non-standard base-pairing at the 3rd anti-codon position. Lineage: Bacteria; Pseudomonadati; Spirochaetota; Spirochaetia; Treponematales; Treponemataceae. The record is from RNAcentral.
GAUCCAUUAGCUCAGUUGGAUAGAGCGGCUGCCUCCUAAGCAGCAGGUCGGACGUUCGACUCGUCUAUGGGUCACUA